RNAcentral lists this long non-coding RNA (1123 nucleotides) under Solanum tuberosum (potato). RNAcentral describes it as "long non-coding RNA (STUB_LNC001932)". The record is from RNAcentral. Lineage: Eukaryota; Viridiplantae; Streptophyta; Magnoliopsida; Solanales; Solanaceae.
GUGGAGUCAAUGUCAUUGCCGCUGUGGUUUCUAUUUACUAUGUUGAUAAAUUGGGAAUGAGACUCUUGUUUCUUGAAGGGGGAGUUCAAAUGCUCUUUUGCCAAGUAACUUCAUUUCAUCUUCUUGGACUUUUUCAUCGUGAAAUUUUCAUAUGUGCUAUUACAUGACCCGUUUUAUUUGACAUAUCAUAAGAAAGAAUUCUACUUAAAAUGAUUCUAUUUCAUCGUAGUUAGCCAAACAUAUUAUGAUCCAUAAGAAUAACUGAAAUCUUGAUACUAUGUAUAUAGUUGAGUAAAAACUAUGAGGUAUUUUCAGGACACCAUUAAUUUGUGUCUGAAAUACCAACAUUGAUUGAUGAAUCGAACCUAGAAAUCUCAAGCUCAAGUUGAUGUGGAAUUUACGGCAAAUAAAUAAAUAAAUAGAAGAAGCAAGUUAUGUUACAAUUGUUGUUUGGUUAAAGGUUGUACCUUUACCUUCUAUAUUUGUACUCAUCUUGAUCAAAUACUACUUUAUUAACUCAAUUAACUUAUCCAAACUCAUAAAAAGAAGGAAUUUUAGCUUAGAACUAAAUUAUAAGAACUGAAUAUGAAAGAAGAGAAGCUUGGUAGAGCUUGCUCCAAUCCAGUUUCAGAGAUGCAGGAGUCCAAGGCAACUGUCGGGCCAUUUGAGUGCACACAAGAUGCAUUGGACAAGAUGCCAUUUGAGUGCAUACAAACUAAUAAGGGUGGAACAACACUUUUGAAGUACUACUGAUGAAUUUAUUCAGGCUAAUAGGUUUUUUUGUUUCAAGUUUGAAUGAUGAAUGAUAGACACAAGUGAUAAAUCUAUUCAUUUUUCUAGGAGCAAAAUGUAGACAAAACACAUUGUUUGUGCUCCUUUUUUUUUUGGUGAAUUUCAAAGUUAAUUUUCACUUAGAUGUAUACAAAUGGUAGUGAUGGGGCUACUGGUUCUUACCUAUGAAGCUAUGGUUGCAAUGAAUUUUAUGGGAAGAGUUAGGCACGUGUAAUUUUGAAGAUUAUUGCCUUACCUUAAAAAGAAUGCAUGUGCUUUUAUAUAUUUUUUAUGUGUGAUUUUAGACAUCUAUCAUAGCAAACAUACAAGGAACUAAAAGUCAAGUCCUGAC